GACGAACGCUGGCGGCGUGCUUAACACAUGCAAGUCGAACGGAAAGGCCCUGCUUUUGUGGGGUGCUCGAGUGGCGAACGGGUGAGUAACACGUGAGUAACCUGCCCUUGACUUUGGGAUAACUUCAGGAAACUGGGGCUAAUACCGGAUAGGAGCUCCUGCUGCAUGGUGGGGGUUGGAAAGUUUCGGCGGUUGGGGAUGGACUGGCGGCUUAUCAGCUUGUUGGUGGGGUAGUGGCUUACCAAGGCUUUGACGGGUAGCCGGCCUGAGAGGGUGACCGGCCACAUUGGGACUGAGAUACGGCCCAGACUCCUACGGGAGGCAGAAGUGGGGAAUAUUGCACAAUGGGCGGAAGACUGAUGAAGCAACGCCGCGUGCGGGAUGACGGCCUUCGGGUUGUAACCCGCUUUCGCAUGUGACGAAGCGUGAGUGACGGUAAUGGGUAAAGAAGCACCGGCUAACUACGUG
RNAcentral lists this ribosomal RNA (468 nucleotides) under uncultured bacterium. RNAcentral's name for it is "partial 16S ribosomal RNA". It matches the Rfam family "Bacterial small subunit ribosomal RNA", at positions 28 to 507 of the family's 1533-position model. The record is from RNAcentral.